RNAcentral lists this ribosomal RNA (372 nucleotides) under uncultured prokaryote. Its description in RNAcentral is "bacterial SSU rRNA". It matches the Rfam family "Bacterial small subunit ribosomal RNA", at positions 524 to 896 of the family's 1533-position model. The record is from RNAcentral.
UACGUAGGGUGCAAGCGUUAAUCGGAAUUACUGGGCGUAAAGCGUGCGCAGGCGGUUAUAUAAGACAGAUGUGAAAUCCCCGGGCUUAACUUUGGAACUGCAUUUGUGACUGUAUAGCUAGAGUACGGCAGAGGGGGGUGGAAUUCCGCGUGUAGCAGUGAAAUGCGUAAAUAUGCGGAGGAACACCGAUGGCGAAGGCAAUCCCCUGGGCCUGUACUGACGUUCAUGCACGAAAGCGUGGGGAGCAAACAGGAUUAGAUACCCUGGUAGUCCACGCCCUAAACGAUGUCAACUGGUUGUUGGGUCUUCACUGACUCAGUAACGAAGCUAACGCGUGAAGUUGACCGCCUGGGGAGUACGGCCGCAAGGUUG